AGUGAACGCUGGCGGCAGGCCUAACACAUGCAAGUCGAGCGGAUGAAGAGAGCUUGCUCCUGGAUUCAGCGGCGGAGGGGUGAGUAAUGCCGAGAAAUCUGGCUGGUAGUGGGGGAGAACGGCCGGAAACGGGGGAUAAUACGGCAUAAGUCCUGAGGGAGAAAGGGGGGGAGCUUCGGACCUCACGCUCUCAGAUGAGCCUAGGUCGGAUUAGCUAGUUGGUGGGGUAAAGGCCUACCAAGGCGACGAUCCGUAACUGGUCUGAGAGGAUGAUCAGUCACACUGGAACUGAGACACGGUCCAGACUCCUACGGGAGGCAGCAGUGGGGAAUAUUGGACAAUGGGCGCAAGCCUGAUCCAGCCAUGCCGCGUGUGUGAAGAAGGUCUUCGGAUUGUAAAGCCCUUUAAGUUGGGAGGAAGGGCAGUAAGUUAAUACCUUGCUGUUUUGACGUUACCCACAGAAUAAGCACCGGCUAACUUCGUG
This 484-nucleotide ribosomal RNA is filed under the name uncultured bacterium. Its description in RNAcentral is "partial 16S ribosomal RNA". It matches the Rfam family "Bacterial small subunit ribosomal RNA", at positions 29 to 507 of the family's 1533-position model. The record is from RNAcentral.